Molecule: ribosomal RNA, 1324 nt
Filed under: Escherichia coli
Lineage: Bacteria; Pseudomonadati; Pseudomonadota; Gammaproteobacteria; Enterobacterales; Enterobacteriaceae
Description: partial 23S ribosomal RNA
Rfam family: Bacterial large subunit ribosomal RNA
Source: RNAcentral
UCGUACCCCAAACCGACACAGGUGGUCAGGUAGAGAAUACCAAGGCGCUUGAGAGAACUCGGGUGAAGGAACUAGGCAAAAUGGUGCCGUAACUUCGGGAGAAGGCACGCUGAUAUGUAGGUGAAGUCCCUCGCGGAUGGAGCUGAAAUCAGUCGAAGAUACCAGCUGGCUGCAACUGUUUAUUAAAAACACAGCACUGUGCAAACACGAAAGUGGACGUAUACGGUGUGACGCCUGCCCGGUGCCGGAAGGUUAAUUGAUGGGGUCAGCGCAAGCGAAGCUCUUGAUCGAAGCCCCGGUAAACGGCGGCCGUAACUAUAACGGUCCUAAGGUAGCGAAAUUCCUUGUCGGGUAAGUUCCGACCUGCACGAAUGGCGUAAUGAUGGCCAGGCUGUCUCCACCCGAGACUCAGUGAAAUUGAACUCGCUGUGAAGAUGCAGUGUACCCGCGGCAAGACGGAAAGACCCCGUGAACCUUUACUAUAGCUUGACACUGAACAUUGAGCCUUGAUGUGUAGGAUAGGUGGGAGGCUUUGAAGUGUGGACGCCAGUCUGCAUGGAGCCGACCUUGAAAUACCACCCUUUAAUGUUUGAUGUUCUAACGUGGACCCGUGAUCCGGGUUGCGGACAGUGUCUGGUGGGUAGUUUGACUGGGGCGGUCUCCUCCUAAAGAGUAACGGAGGAGCACGAAGGUUGGCUAAUCCUGGUCGGACAUCAGGAGGUUAGUGCAAUGGCAUAAGCCAGCUUGACUGCGAGCGUGACGGCGCGAGCAGGUGCGAAAGCAGGUCAUAGUGAUCCGGUGGUUCUGAAUGGAAGGGCCAUCGCUCAACGGAUAAAAGGUACUCCGGGGAUAACAGGCUGAUACCGCCCAAGAGUUCAUAUCGACGGCGGUGUUUGGCACCUCGAUGUCGGCUCAUCACAUCCUGGGGCUGAAGUAGGUCCCAAGGGUAUGGCUGUUCGCCAUUUAAAGUGGUACGCGAGCUGGGUUUAGAACGUCGUGAGACAGUUCGGUCCCUAUCUGCCGUGGGCGCUGGAGAACUGAGGGGGGCUGCUCCUAGUACGAGAGGACCGGAGUGGACGCAUCACUGGUGUUCGGGUUGUCAUGCCAAUGGCACUGCCCGGUAGCUAAAUGCGGAAGAGAUAAGUGCUGAAAGCAUCUAAGCACGAAACUUGCCCCGAGAUGAGUUCUCCCUGACCCUUUAAGGGUCCUGAAGGAACGUUGAAGACGACGACGUUGAUAGGCCGGGUGUGUAAGCGCAGCGAUGCGUUGAGCUAACCGGUACUAAUGAACCGUGAGGCUUAACCUUACAACGCCGAAGGUGUUU